GGAAUGACGUGGACUUGUAAACGGCCCCAGAGCUCAAUCCUAUUGGGCAACUGUGAGUUGGUGCCUGGGCCAGCGGCCUGGCUGACGCUUCUUGUUCAUUCUUCUGCCUCAGCCAGUAGGUUUGGCUAGAAUUCUAAGGCCUUAGACUUUGCCGGACUAGAAAAGGAAAGAGGAAAGGGAAGUAAAUCGCCGCAGGGGUCAAACCUGCUUUCCUGUGCUCUUCUGAGCUGCUCUCGGCUCCUGCUCUGCAGAGCUAAAACCUCUAAGGAAGCCACUCUUUUAUCAUCUCCAAAAGAUUACGGGAUCAUAUAGUCUAGGCUGCAACUAUACCAUCUGCUUAUGCCCUCGGAAUUUUAAAAACGAGACCCAUGUUUACAAAUGUGAGCUGACAUGUCACAUUUGUGGAGAAAUAACGAAGUAGCUGCCAGGCGGCAGCAAGAUUCUUCAUGUUCAGAAGCUCCUCCACGUAAAAGCAGGUUACGUCCUGAAAGAUCAUUCUUAAGUGCACUGUUUGUUAGUUCAGUUGCCUAGGAAGGGUUUAAGCUUUCAGCCCUCAGAUUUCUUUCCACCAAACAGGCAUGUUUUCAAUUCACGCACAUGCUCCUCCUCUGAACUGGUGAAUGCACUCUCAGGCAUGUUUUCCCCUAACAAAUCCAUUUUUUUCUACAUUGAAAGUUCCGUUGGGACAGAUAACAUCUGCAAGUAUUGUAAGAAUCUCCUUAGCAGCUUCACAACCUCCACUCCGCUUUGAAGUCAGGCAAAUUCAAAGGCGCCUUAUAUAGAGGAAAUAUCCGUGGCUUGAGGCAAACAUUUCAUCACUCCUAGGCUCGAAGUCUUCAAGCAAACAGCUGGCAUUCUCCCGGACAGGGCUGGUAGACUCUGUGGAUGUCUUGCCUUCAAGCCAUGGCGCUUUAAAUCCUUUGGGGUUUGUCUACUGUGUUUUCUAUCCACUGCUGAUGAUUGUUG
This 966-nucleotide long non-coding RNA is filed under the name Homo sapiens (human). RNAcentral describes it as "HSALNT0199385". The record is from RNAcentral. Lineage: Eukaryota; Metazoa; Chordata; Mammalia; Primates; Hominidae.